This 246-nucleotide ribosomal RNA is filed under the name uncultured bacterium. RNAcentral's name for it is "partial 16S ribosomal RNA". It matches the Rfam family "Bacterial small subunit ribosomal RNA", at positions 524 to 769 of the family's 1533-position model. The record is from RNAcentral.
UACGAAGGGUGCAAGCGUUACUCGGAAUCACUGGGCGUAAAGCGUGCGUAGGCGGUUUCUUAAGUCUGUCGUGAAAGCCCUCGGCUCAACUGAGGAAGUGCACCCGAAACUGGCGAGCUUGAGUACGAAAGAGGAUCGCGGAAUUCCCGGUGUAGAGGUGAAAUUCGUAGAUAUCGGGAGGAACACCGGUGGCGAAGGCGGCGAUCUGGGUCGAUACUGACGCUGAGGUGCGAAAGCGUGGGGAGC